Molecule: ribosomal RNA, 507 nt
Filed under: uncultured bacterium
Lineage: Bacteria
Description: bacterial SSU rRNA
Rfam family: Bacterial small subunit ribosomal RNA
Source: RNAcentral
CUGGCUCAGGAUGAACGCUAGCGACAGGCUUAACACAUGCAAGUCGAGGGGCAGCACGGGAGUAGCAAUACUUGGUGGCGACCGGCGCACGGGUGAGUAACGCGUAUGCAACCUACCUAUCAGAGGGGAAUAACCCGGCGAAAGUCGGACUAAUACCGCAUAAAACAGGGGCACCGCAUGGUGAUAUUUGUUAAAGAAAUUCGCUGAUAGAUGGGCAUGCGUUCCAUUAGGUAGUUGGUGAGGUAACGGCUCACCAAGCCGACGAUGGAUAGGGGAACUGAGAGGUUGGUCCCCCACACUGGUACUGAGACACGGACCAGACUCCUACGGGAGGCAGCAGUGAGGAAUAUUGGUCAAUGGGCGGGAGCCUGAACCAGCCAAGUCGCCGUGAAGGAAGAAGGAUCUAUGGUUCGUAAACUUCUUUUGCAGGGGAAUAAAGUGCAGGACGUGUCCUGUUUUGUAUGUACCCUGAGAAUAAGGAUCGGCUAACUCCGUGCCAGCCGCGGC